RNAcentral lists this unclassified non-coding RNA (4563 nucleotides) under Drosophila pseudoobscura pseudoobscura. Its description in RNAcentral is "GA10766". The record is from RNAcentral. Lineage: Eukaryota; Metazoa; Arthropoda; Insecta; Diptera; Drosophilidae.
GUCAUAGACGUAUGUACUCACUUCUGGCACUGCGACCUGGCGCCAGCGUCGCCUCCAGUCAUGUACCGCUACAAUCGAUGAUUGCCUAAGCCAGAGCGAACAGAAAGAAGAGAGUGAAGAGAGAGAGAGAGAGAGAGAGAGAGCGAGCGAGCCAGCGAGCGAACGUGAUACCAAAGACAAUAGGCAACUGUAAAGAACGGGAACGAUAACCAGGUGGAGGGAUCCGAUCCAUCAACCAUUUAAAGAACUAAAAACAGAAGAGGCACACACAGACAGACAGCACUAUGUUGAUUAAGGAGUACCGUAUACCGCUGCCCCUCACCGUCGAGGAGUAUCGGAUUGCCCAGCUGUACAUGAUAGCGAAAAAGAGUCGCGAGGAGAGCCAUGGCGAGGGCAGCGGCGUUGAGAUCAUCAUCAAUGAACCCUAUAAGGAUGGUCCCGGCGGCAAUGGUCAAUAUACGAAAAAGAUAUACCAUGUGGGCAAUCAUUUGCCAGGCUGGAUCAAGAGUCUCUUGCCGAAAAGUGCUCUGACCGUUGAGGAGGAGGCAUGGAACGCAUAUCCGUAUACAAGGACACGCUACACCUGCCCCUUUGUGGAGAAAUUCUCGCUGGACAUUGAGACGUACUAUUUCCCAGACAAUGGCUAUCAGGAGAAUGUCUUUCAGCUGUCGGGCAGCGAUCUACGCAAUCGUAUUGUCGAUGUAAUCGAUAUUGUCAAAGAUCAGCUAUGGGGCGGCGAUUACGUGAAGGAAGAGGACCCCAAACAAUUUAUAUCGGAAAAGACGGGACGUGGCCCGUUAGCCGAUGACUGGCUGGAGGAGUAUUGGCGCGAGGUCAAGGGCAAAAAGCAGCCAACGCCGCGGAACAUGUCCCUGAUGACGGCCUAUAAGAUUUGUCGCGUUGAAUUCCGAUAUUGGGGCAUGCAAACGAAGCUGGAGAAGUUCAUACACGAUGUGGCAUUGCGCAAAAUGAUGCUGCGGGCGCAUCGUCAGGCCUGGGCAUGGCAGGAUGAAUGGUAUGGCCUUACCAUCGAGGAUAUACGCGAGCUGGAGCGUCAGACACAGCUGGCACUAGCCAAGAAAAUGGGCAGCGGUGAAGAGUGCAGCGAUGAUAGCACCUCCGAGGCGUACACUAGCACGACGGCCACGGCUGCCGCCUCUACGGGUGGCAGCGAACGAAAGAAAUCGGCGCCGGCCAUACCGCCAAUUGUCACCCAACAGCCGCCCAGUGCCGAGGCCAGCUCCGACGAGGAGGAGGGCGAGGACGAAGACGACGAUGAGGAUGAGAACGAUGCCAUUGGCGCUGGUGUGGAUCUGGUUGGCAGCACACAGGGCACCGCCACCGCAAAAGAUCGCUCCCGAUCGCAGAGCAUACAGAUGGCCAACAAGGGGAAAUUUGGCUCGAAAGGUGCCCUGCACUCGCCCGUGGGCUCGGCGCACAGCUUUGAUCUGCAGUCAAAAAAGCCGCAUGCCAAGACAGCGCCUCGCAGACAUGUGGCUAACUGGCGCAUGGAACGACUGGAAGUGGACUCCAAGUCGAACUCUGAUGAGGAGUUCUUUGAUUGUUUAGACACCAAUGAGACGAACUCUCUGGCCAAGUGGAGCUCCCUGGAGCUGCUGGGUGAGGGCGACGACAGUCCACCGCCCCAUGGGGGCCCCUCCAGCGGUGGCUCUGUGGCAAGCGGUCGCGGCCACGCCGGCGGCAAGCAGGAGGAUAGCAUUUUCAAUCAGGACUUUCUAAUGCGCGUCGCCUCGGAGCGGGGUAACAAGCGACAGCUGCGCUCCUCGGCCAGUGUGGACCGCAGCCAUGAUUCGUCGCCGCCAGGAUCGCCGAGCACCCCAUCUUGUCCGACCACCAUACUGAUGUUGGUCGUUCACGCCGGCAGUGUGCUGGACGCCGCCAGUGAGCUAACGGCCAAGAAGUCAGAUGUCACCACAUUCCGUGGCUCGUUCGAGGCCGUCAUGCGGCAGCAUUAUCCCAGCUUGCUGACACAUGUGACGAUCAAAAUGGUGCCCUGUCCGUCGAUAUGCACCGAUGCUUUGGGGAUACUCUCCAGCCUCAGUCCAUACUCGUUCGAUGCCUCGCCCUCGGCGGCGGAUAUACCGAACAUAGCCGAUGUACCCAUAGGAGCCAUACCCCUGCUGGCUGUGGCCUCACCCGAGUUCCACGAGACCGUCAACAAGACGGUGGCAGCGGCCAAUAUUGUGUACCAUGAGUUUUUGAAAUCGGAAGAGGGACAUGGUUUCUCCGGGCAAAUUGUAAUGCUCGGCGACUCCAUGGGCUCUCUGCUGGCAUACGAGGCUUUGUGCCGGUCCAACGGCAGUCAGCCGGGCACCGCUGGAUCUGGGGCCUCGAACUCUGGCGGCGAUGCUGUUGCCGCCAGCAGCGGCAGCAACGCCCAGCCGAUGAACAGCCGACACUCGCGACUGGACGACGAUGAGCGCUUCAUUGAGGCCGAUCUGGAUGCCAAACGUCUGCUGGUGGCCCCCUCGCCGCGUCGUCGUCGCUCCAGUUCGUCGAGUGACUCGCGGGCCGUCAAGCUUGACUUCGAGGUCAGUGACUUUUUCAUGUUCGGCUCGCCGCUGUCCGUUGUCUUGGCCGCCCGCAAGUUGCACGAUGCCAAGACGGCACUGGUGCGUCCGAACUGCCAUCAAGUGUACAAUUUGUUCCAUCCAACCGAUCCGAUUGCCUCGCGGCUGGAGCCGCUGCUUAGUGCACGCUUCUCCAUACUGUCGCCGGUGAAUGUUCCACGUUAUGCCAAAUAUCCACUGGGAAGUGGCCAGCCAUUGCAUUUAUUGGAGGUUAUUCAAUCUCAUCCGCAGCACUUUAACGAUGGCAACAACAUACUGGCCGGACGUCGCCUCUCGGAUGCCUCCAUGCAGAGCACGAUUUCGGGACUAAUUGAGAAUGUCUCUCUCAGUACAAUUCAUGCCCUUCAAAACAAAUGGUGGGGCACCAAGCGCCUGGACUAUGCCCUGUACUGCCCCGAGGGGCUGAGCAAUUUCCCCGCCCAUGCAUUGCCGCAUCUGUUCCAUGCCAGCUACUGGGAGAGCCCCGAUGUGAUUGCGUUUAUAUUGCGACAGAUUGGCAAAUUCGAGGGCAUACCGUUUGUGGGAUCCAACGACGACAAGGAUGCGGCCUCCUUCCAUCCAGGGCAGCCGCGCGAAAAGUGGAUCAAGAAGCGCACAUCGGUGAAGCUGAAAAAUGUGGCCGCCAACCAUCGGGCCAACGAUGUGAUUGUCCAGGAGGGACGCGAGCAGCGUUUGAAUGCCCGCUUCAUGUACGGACCCCUCGACAUGAUCACGCUCCAUGGCGAGAAGGUCGAUGUGCAUAUUAUGAAGGAUCCGCCGGCGGGCGAGUGGACAUUCCUCACCACCGAAAUGACGGACAAAAACGGACGCAUCUCGUACAACAUACCCGAUCAGCUGUCCCUCGGCUAUGGGAUAUAUCCGGUAAAGAUGGUCGUCCGUGGCGAUCAUACAUCGGUGGACUGCUACAUGGCCGUGGUGCCACCACUCACCGAGUGCGUUGUCUUUAGCAUUGAUGGCUCCUUCACCGCCUCCAUGUCGGUGACGGGCCGCGAUCCCAAGGUGCGUGCCGGUGCCGUCGACGUCUGCCGCCAUUGGCAGGAGCUGGGCUAUCUGCUCAUCUACAUCACGGGGCGGCCGGAUAUGCAGCAGCAGCGUGUCGUCUCUUGGCUGAGCCAGCACAAUUUCCCCCACGGCUUGAUCUCAUUCGCGGACGGGCUGUCCACCGAUCCGUUGGGCCACAAGACCGCGUAUCUCAACAAUCUGGUGCAGAAUCAUGGAAUCUCAAUUACGGCCGCCUACGGCAGCAGCAAGGAUAUUACUGUGUACACGAAUGUGGGGAUGCGUACCGAUCAGAUAUUUAUUGUCGGCAAGGUGAGCAAGAAGCUACAGUCGAACGCCAUAGUCUUGAGCGAUGGCUAUGCGGCACAUUUGUCCGGCCUUCAGGCUGUGGGCGGCUCGCGUCCGGCCAAAGGGAAUGCCCGUAUGGUCAUACCCAGGGGAUGUUUCAACCUGCCCGGCCAGACGGCCAAUCCGCGACGCCGAAGCAACGAGACGGGACUUUCAUCGCCCAUACGCAGCGGCUAUCUGAAGCGCAAAACCUAUUUGAGCCAUCACUAGAUAUGACCCAAGAGAGAAGCCCCCCACUAGAGAGAACUAGAAACCAAAGCAAACCCCACAAGAACUGCAAACUCCAGAAAGAUUUAUAGCACACCGCAAUCCUGCAUUCCGUUCUACAUACUAACAAAACCGAAAGAAAGGAUCACAGCAUUGAGGCCGCCUCCCAUAUAUGUCACCUCUGUGUAUAUAUCACAUGAAUAUAUAUUUAUAUACUAUGCGCGAUAUAUAUAGCAAAAAAUAUUGGGUGUAUAUACGAAAGCAAACAAAUAUUAACAACAAAAAUAUUGUACAACAUAUAACCAAAAGUCAAAUGUGUCACGCGGUACCUGGAACGAAAGACUGUUUCCUCCUGUUGUUUGAUGGUUUUCCAAACCACUUAAAGAAACACAAAAGAAAGUAAAUACCUAUUAAAGAA